UCAACUUGAGAGUUUGAUCCUGGCUCAGAACGAACGCUGGCGGCAGGCUUAACACAUGCAAGUCGAGCGCCCCGCAAGGGGAGCGGCAGACGGGUGAGUAACGCGUGGGAAUCUACCCAUCUCUACGGAAUAACUCAGGGAAACUUGUGCUAAUACCGUAUACGCCCUUCGGGGGAAAGAUUUAUCGGAGAUGGAUGAGCCCGCGUUGGAUUAGCUAGUUGGUGGGGUAAAGGCCUACCAAGGCGACGAUCCAUAGCUGGUCUGAGAGGAUGAUCAGCCACACUGGGACUGAGACACGGCCCAGACUCCUACGGGAGGCAGCAGUGGGGAAUAUUGGACAAUGGGCGCAAGCCUGAUCCAGCCAUGCCGCGUGAGUGAUGAAGGCCCUAGGGUUGUAAAGCUCUUUCACCGGUGAAGAUAAUGACGGUAACCGGAGAAGAAGCCCCGGCUAACUUCGUGCCAGCAGCCGCGGUAAUACGAAGGGGGCUAGCGUUGUUCGGAAUUACUGGGCGUAAAGCGCACGUAGGCGGAUCGUUAAGUGAGGGGUGAAAUCCCAGGGCUCAACCCUGGAACUGCCUUUCAUACUGGCGAUCUUGAGUUCGAGAGAGGUGAGUGGAAUUCCGAGUGUAGAGGUGAAAUUCGUAGAUAUUCGGAGGAACACCAGUGGCGAAGGCGGCUCACUGGCUCGAUACUGACGCUGAGGUGCGAAAGCGUGG
RNAcentral lists this ribosomal RNA (716 nucleotides) under Hoeflea sp. Its description in RNAcentral is "bacterial SSU rRNA". It matches the Rfam family "Bacterial small subunit ribosomal RNA", at positions 1 to 764 of the family's 1533-position model. The record is from RNAcentral. Lineage: Bacteria; Pseudomonadati; Pseudomonadota; Alphaproteobacteria; Hyphomicrobiales; Rhizobiaceae.